ACGGGAGGCAGCAGUGGGGAAUAUUGCACAAUGGAGGAAACCCUGAUGCAGCAACGCCGCGUGAGUGAAGAAGUAUCUCGGUAUGUAAAGCUCUAUCAGCAGGGAAGAAAAAAGACGGUACCUGACUAAGAAGCACCGGCUAAAUACGUGCCAGCAGCCGCGGUAAUACGGAAGGUCCGAGCGUUAUCCGGAUUUAUUGGGUUUAAAGGGAGCGCAGGCGGAGAUGUAAGCCAGCCGUCAAAUCGUGGUGCUCAACGCCAUCCAGCGGUUGGAACUGCAUCCCUUGAGUGCACUAGAGGAAGGUGGAAUUCGUGGUGUAGCGGUGAAAUGCAUAGAUAUCACGAAGAACUCCGAUUGCGAAGGCAGCCUUCUGGGGUGUUACUGACGCUCAUGCUCGAAGGUGCGGGUAUCAAACAGGAUUAGAUACCCUGGUA
RNAcentral lists this ribosomal RNA (434 nucleotides) under uncultured Prevotellaceae bacterium. RNAcentral describes it as "partial 16S ribosomal RNA". It matches the Rfam family "Bacterial small subunit ribosomal RNA", at positions 341 to 792 of the family's 1533-position model. The record is from RNAcentral. Lineage: Bacteria; Pseudomonadati; Bacteroidota; Bacteroidia; Bacteroidales; Prevotellaceae.